This 74-nucleotide transfer RNA is filed under the name Ixodes scapularis (black-legged tick). Its description in RNAcentral is "tRNA-Phe for anticodon GAA". The record is from RNAcentral. Lineage: Eukaryota; Metazoa; Arthropoda; Arachnida; Ixodida; Ixodidae.
GCCGGGAUGGUCUAAUCGGUUAAGGCGUCGCCCCGAACAGGCGAAGGUUGUGGGAUCAAUGCCCACUCCUGGCC